ACUUUAGCUCAGUAGGUAGAGCACUUCCUUGGUAAGGAAGAGGUCGUCGGUUCGAUUCCGAUAG
Molecule: transfer RNA, 64 nt
Filed under: human gut metagenome
Rfam family: tRNA
About the family: Transfer RNA (tRNA) molecules are approximately 80 nucleotides in length. Their secondary structure includes four short double-helical elements and three loops (D, anti-codon, and T loops). Further hydrogen bonds mediate the characteristic L-shaped molecular structure. tRNAs have two regions of fundamental functional importance: the anti-codon, which is responsible for specific mRNA codon recognition, and the 3' end, to which the tRNAs corresponding amino acid is attached (by aminoacyl-tRNA synthetases). tRNAs cope with the degeneracy of the genetic code in two manners: having more than one tRNA (with a specific anti-codon) for a particular amino acid; and 'wobble' base-pairing, i.e. permitting non-standard base-pairing at the 3rd anti-codon position.
Source: RNAcentral